Molecule: non-coding RNA, 43 nt
Filed under: Schistosoma mansoni
Lineage: Eukaryota; Metazoa; Platyhelminthes; Trematoda; Strigeidida; Schistosomatidae
Source: RNAcentral
AUCCAACUGACGAGUCCCAAAUAAGACGAAAAGCGUCCUGGAC